Molecule: ribosomal RNA, 482 nt
Filed under: uncultured bacterium
Lineage: Bacteria
Description: partial 16S ribosomal RNA
Rfam family: Bacterial small subunit ribosomal RNA
Source: RNAcentral
AUUGAACGCUGGCGGCAUGCUUUACACAUGCAAGUCGAACGGUAACAGGCCGCAAGGUGCUGACGAGUGGCGCACGGGUGAGUAAUGCAUCAGAACGUGCCCAGUCGUGGGGGAUAACUACUCGAAAGAGUAGCUAAUACCGCAUACGAUCUAUGGAUGAAAGCGGGGGACCGUAAGGCCUCGCGCGAUUGGAGCGGCCGAUGUCAGAUUAGGUAGUUGGUGGGGUAAAGGCUCACCAAGCCAACGAUCUGUAGCUGGUCUGAGAGGACGACCAGCCACACUGGGACUGAGACACGGCCCAGACUCCUACGGGAGGCAGCAGUGGGGAAUUUUGGACAAUGGGCGCAAGCCUGAUCCAGCAAUGCCGCGUGCAGGAAGAAGGCCUUCGGGUUGUAAACUGCUUUUGUACGGAACGAAACGGCUCUGGUUAAUACCCGGGGCUAAUGACGGUACCGUAAGAAUAAGCACCGGCUAACUACGUG